GUUUCGUCUCUUCUGAGGCCUCUCUCCUUGGCUUGCAGAUGGCCUCCUUCUCGCUGUGUCCUCACGUGGCCUUUUUUCUCCAUGUGCGUGCAUCCGUCGUGUCUCUCUUAUUCUUGGAAGAAAAACAUGUGCCUUCUGCUAACUGUCUGGUGUGUCCAGUUCUGAAUGUCAAGACCAAGUCCUGAAAAUGGGUACUGGGGACGACUUAAGAGACAAGGAAACAGAAACACAGAGAAACCCAAGAUCACCCAGCUGCUAAGGCCUUGAGCUGCUCUUUGUCCCUGUGCUGGAUUUGACCCACAGAGCCCAGCUCUUAACUACCAGCCUCUCUCAUCUCUUUGAUAAGCCACAGUUCUCCCCUCCUUGAUGCUACCUCAGAGAGAUAUAUGACUUCCCUGCAGAAUCCAUCUUCAUCCUGUGGGUGUAAAAAGACCCUUGAGCACGUCCCUUGGGUAAUAAAGCAGCUAGCUUCCACAGCUUUUUUUCAGCUACCGCUAAAAUGCUUUUAAAGGAAC
Molecule: long non-coding RNA, 515 nt
Filed under: Homo sapiens (human)
Lineage: Eukaryota; Metazoa; Chordata; Mammalia; Primates; Hominidae
Description: HSALNT0366345
Source: RNAcentral